This 365-nucleotide ribosomal RNA is filed under the name uncultured bacterium. RNAcentral describes it as "bacterial SSU rRNA". It matches the Rfam family "Bacterial small subunit ribosomal RNA", at positions 527 to 896 of the family's 1533-position model. The record is from RNAcentral.
GGAGGAUCCAAGCGUUAUCCGGAAUCAUUGGGUUUAAAGGGUCCGUAGGCGGCUUUAUAAGUCAGUGGUGAAAUCUCCCCGCUCAACGGGGAAACGGCCAUUGAUACUGUAAGGCUUGAAUUAUUAGGAAGUAACUAGAAUAUGUAGUGUAGCGGUGAAAUGCUUAGAGAUUACAUGGAAUACCAAUUGCGAAAGCAGGUUACUACUAAUGGAUUGACGCUGAUGGACGAAAGCGUGGGUAGCGAACAGGAUUAGAUACCCUGGUAGUCCACGCCGUAAACGAUGGAUACUAGCUGUUGGGAGCAAUCUCAGUGGCUAAGCGAAAGUGAUAAGUAUCCCACCUGGGGAGUACGUUCGCAAGAAUG